This 88-nucleotide non-coding RNA is filed under the name Sodalis ligni. Lineage: Bacteria; Pseudomonadati; Pseudomonadota; Gammaproteobacteria; Enterobacterales; Bruguierivoracaceae. The record is from RNAcentral.
GUCUAUGGUGGCUCAGGCGAGGCAGCCCUCGGGCUGGCCGGUUUCCAGUAGUGCCGGUACUGCUAACCUCGUCUGGGCUACCACCCAU